CAUUUUGAAAUAAGAACGACAAUUGGGAACGCUAUUUUUAUCUUUUGCCCUAAAAAUUUUAUCCUCCAAAUUCGACACCUCAAUCCCACAAUUCGGCACCUCAAUCCCAAGAUGUCUCACCACGAUAUCAACUCCUUAUCCACGAACUCUUCUGCCCAAGAUUCCAGCAACGUGAUUUCACAUUUUUAUCAAAUCAGUUCUAUUUUUAUAGUAUAUAGUUUUGUUCUUUCUCCAUCGCGUGCAUAUCAAACAACAAUUCUAGACUACAGAAGGUAAUUUGUAUGAUUUGUAUUUCAUGAACAAUCUUUUUUCCAUGAUGGAAUGGUAUUCCUUUCAUAGAUAUUUUUGUGCAGUUUUAGUUUCUACUUAUAUUUACAAAUUCCUCUGUCUAUUUCAGGAUAUAAUGGCGGU
RNAcentral lists this long non-coding RNA (411 nucleotides) under Nicotiana tabacum (common tobacco). RNAcentral describes it as "long non-coding RNA (NTAB_LNC013919)". The record is from RNAcentral. Lineage: Eukaryota; Viridiplantae; Streptophyta; Magnoliopsida; Solanales; Solanaceae.